GACGAACGCUGGCGGCGUGCUUAACACAUGCAAGUCGAACGAUGAUGCCCAGCUUGCUGGGCGGAUUAGUGGCGAACGGGUGAGUAACACGUGAGUAACCUGCCCUUGACUUCGGGAUAACUCCGGGAAACCGGGGCUAAUACCGGAUAUGAGCCGUCCUCGCAUGGGGGUGGUUGGAAAGUUUUUCGGUCAGGGAUGGGCUCGCGGCCUAUCAGCUUGUUGGUGGGGUGAUGGCCUACCAAGGCGACGACGGGUAGCCGGCCUGAGAGGGCGACCGGCCACACUGGGACUGAGACACGGCCCAGACUCCUACGGGAGGCAGCAGUGGGGAAUAUUGCACAAUGGGCGAAAGCCUGAUGCAGCGACGCCGCGUGAGGGAUGAAGGCCUUCGGGUUGUAAACCUCUUUCAGCAGGGAAGAAGCGCAAGUGACGGUACCUGCAGAAGAAGCGCCGGCUAACUACGUGCCAGCAGCCGCGGUAAUACGUGGGGCGCAAGCGUUGUCCGGAAUUAUUGGGCGUAAAGAGCUCGUAGGCGGUUUGUCGCGUCUGGUGUGAAAACUCGAGGCUCAACCUCGAGCUUGCAUCGGGUACGGGCAGACUAGAGUGCGGUAGGGGAGACUGGAAUUCCUGGUGUAGCGGUGGAAUGCGCAGAUAUCAGGAGGAACACCGAUGGCGAAGGCAGGUCUCUGGGCCGCAACUGACGCUGAGGAGCGAAAGCAUGGGGAGCGAACAGG
This 734-nucleotide ribosomal RNA is filed under the name uncultured Cellulosimicrobium sp. RNAcentral's name for it is "bacterial SSU rRNA". It matches the Rfam family "Bacterial small subunit ribosomal RNA", at positions 28 to 776 of the family's 1533-position model. The record is from RNAcentral. Lineage: Bacteria; Bacillati; Actinomycetota; Actinomycetes; Micrococcales; Promicromonosporaceae.